AACCCAUGAUGAGGGCACCUUCUCAAUAAAUCCUUAUAUCUCUCCCAUGCAUCAUAUAAGGUUUCUAAGUCGAUUUGUACGAAGGAAAAGAUAUCAUUCCUCAACUU
Molecule: non-coding RNA, 107 nt
Organism: Gossypium hirsutum (cotton)
Lineage: Eukaryota; Viridiplantae; Streptophyta; Magnoliopsida; Malvales; Malvaceae
Source: Rfam